Molecule: RNA transcript, 1340 nt
Organism: Salvia miltiorrhiza (redroot sage)
Lineage: Eukaryota; Viridiplantae; Streptophyta; Magnoliopsida; Lamiales; Lamiaceae
Exons: 2
Source: RefSeq, a predicted model, not a curated record
AUCUUUAUUAAACCAAACAUUUCUUCUCUCUCUUAAUUCUAAAAAAAAAAACGCACGCUGCAUCUCCCUCCUUCUCACAACAGCGCUCGGCUCUCUGUCUCUCAAUCAAGAAAGGAAUCGCUGCUCACAUCUCUCUCUAUCUCGCUCGAUCUCCUCCGGCCGCUGCUGCUCUGCUCUGGGCCGCGACCAGCGGCGCUUGGCCUUCGGCCGCGCCGCCCCGCUCAGCCGCCUCCCUUCUGAAGCUGUUGCCGCUCCGCCUGAAGUCGACGAGUCAGCCGUCGCCGAGUCUCCCCUUUGCGGCAGAUCCGCUGCCGCGGUUCCCUUUCCGGCGAAACCGGCAUCAAGUCGUUGGAGUACCGGCGAGGCCGCAACCGGCCACUGGCGCUGCUCCCUUCGUCUCUGACUUCCUCUCUUUCUCCAUCCUUUCCUCUCUAUCUCUGAUCGUGCUCUCUCCUCUCAAAUUGCAUGACCUCAGCCGUGCAUCCUCCUCAACAGGCUCUGCCAUGGCCGAGUCCGGUGAGGUUGGCGUCGGCAUCAGACCUUGCCCAAAACUCUCAUCUUCCGUGUUUCUUCUCUGAAAUUUCAACUCCAGAUUAUACCCCCAAUCGAACCCUAAUUCUUUCAUCAUGGACUACCACCGCUGCUGUCCUCUUCGGUGUAGACGGGCUCGAUGCCUCAUCGCGCCGUUGUUAUAGUCAGAUUCCAGCGAGGCAGCAAGGGAUCGCCGCCGUCAUUCCCUCGGCUCGACUGAACAGGCUGAACUCAAGAAGAAAAUGGAGAAGUUUAAGUUGAGCUUACCUCUUGGGGUCCACAUUGCAGCUGAAAUAAACUCUCUAUGAUUUUUGGUGCAUAAAGGAAGGAGGGGGAAUCGUAGUUGGUGAUUUUCAGGCUACUAUGAAGCCCUCAAUUUAUAGGCAGAUUAGGCCGCAAAACUUGAAAACUAUUUACAGCAAAUGUGGAAAUUUUGCUGCAACUUUUGACAAAAAUGAAAUUGGUUGGUGGCUGCCAUAAUUUUUUUUUUUACUAAUAGUGAAAUUUCAUGUGAGACUUUGAAAAGUGGAGUACUCAUAGGGUGCGUCUGAUCCUAGUUGUAUCUUAGCAUGCUUCAAAUAUUAAAUUGUGACUUUUGCAGGGAAAAGAGUAUGACCUUAGCAGAGUUAAAGAAAAGGGGCUGCUAUGCGUGUACUAUCUAUAUUUUAUUUCUUGAUUUUGUAUACUCUAUUGAUAGUGUAGGAGCGUAGGGAGUGUGAAAGAAAAAUGAUGAUUGUAAGUAAAUAGAAUUGAGGUGACUAAUAAAAAUCUCUUGCCUUGAUUAAUUAAUCAAGUAUUUGUAAAACAAA